This 590-nucleotide ribosomal RNA is filed under the name Carabus lusitanicus lusitanicus. Its description in RNAcentral is "LSU rRNA". It matches the Rfam family "Bacterial large subunit ribosomal RNA", at positions 1921 to 2748 of the family's 2925-position model. Lineage: Eukaryota; Metazoa; Arthropoda; Insecta; Coleoptera; Carabidae. The record is from RNAcentral.
UUUUAAAUGGCCGCAGUAUUUUGACUGUGCAAAGGUAGCAUAAUCAUUAGUUUUUUAAUUAAAAGCUUGUAUGAAAGGCUGGACGAGGUAAAAUCUGUCUCUAUUUAAAUUAUAGUAGAAUUUAACUUUUAAGUUAAAAGGCUUAAAUGUUAUUAAAAGACGAGAAGACCCUAUAGAUCUUUAUAGUUUAUUAAAUUAAAUUAAUUUAGAAAUAUUAAUGUUUUAUUUAAUUGAAUUAUUUUAUUGGGGUAAUAAAAAGAUUGAGUUAAUUCUUUUUUACAAUAAACAUUAAUUUAUGAAUAUUAAUGAUCCAGUUUUACUGAUUAUAAGAUUAAGUUACCUUAGGGAUAACAGCGUAAUUUUUUUAGAGAGUUCAUAUCGAUAAAAAAGUUUGCGACCUCGAUGUUGGAUUAAAGAUUAUUUUAGGUGUAGAAGCUUAAUAAUUUUGGUCUGUUCGACCAUUAAAUCUUUACAUGAUCUGAGUUCAGACCGGCGUAAGCCAGGUCGGUUUCUAUCUUUAAUAAAACAAAAUAUUUUAGUACGAAAGGACCAAAUAUUUGAUAUAUUUAUAUUUAAUUUAUUGAAUAUUA